CCUACGGGUGGCAGCAGUGGGGGAUAUUGGACAAUGGGGGCAACCCUGAUCCAGCCACGCCGCGUGAGUGAAGAAGUAUUUCGGUAUGUAAAGCUCUUUCAGCAGGGAGGAAAGUAAUAAGGAUACCUGACCAAGAAGUCCAGGCUAACUACGUGCCAGCAGCCGCGUUAAUACGUAGGGGGCACGCGUUAUCCGGAAUGACUGGGGGUAAAGGUAGCGCAGACGGUGAGGCAAGUCUGGAGUGAAAGGCGCGGGACCAACCCCGGAAGUCCUCCUGAUACUGGGUAACUUGAGUGCAGGAGAGGGGAGUAGAAUUCCGUGUGUAGCGGUGAAAUGCGUAGAGAUGAGGAGGAACACCAGUGGCGAAGGCGGCUUCCUGGAC
RNAcentral lists this ribosomal RNA (382 nucleotides) under uncultured bacterium. RNAcentral's name for it is "partial 16S ribosomal RNA". It matches the Rfam family "Bacterial small subunit ribosomal RNA", at positions 338 to 734 of the family's 1533-position model. The record is from RNAcentral.